GCUAGCGGUCAAAGUGCCGGGGCAACUCCUGUUCCCAUCUCGAACACAGAAGAUAAGCCCGGCAACGUUUUGGUUUGUACUGCGUCAUACGCGGGAAGGCUAGAAAGCUGCUGGCA
This 116-nucleotide ribosomal RNA is filed under the name Nanobdellota archaeon. The record is from RNAcentral. Lineage: Archaea; Nanobdellati; Nanobdellota.